UACGUAGGGUGCGAGCGUUAAUCGGAAUUACGGGGCGUAAAGCGUGCGCAGGCGGCUUUGCAAGACAGAUGUGAAAUCCCCGGGCUCAACCUGGGAACUGCAUUUGUGACUGCAAGGCUAGAGUACGGCAGAGGGGGAUGGAAUUCCGCGUGUAGCAGUGAAAUGCGUAGAUAUGCGGAGGAACACCAAUGGCGAAGGCAAUCCCCUGGGCCUGUACUGACGCUCAUGCACGAAAGCGUGGGGAGCAAACAGG
RNAcentral lists this ribosomal RNA (253 nucleotides) under uncultured bacterium. RNAcentral describes it as "partial 16S ribosomal RNA". It matches the Rfam family "Bacterial small subunit ribosomal RNA", at positions 524 to 776 of the family's 1533-position model. The record is from RNAcentral.